GGCUUUCCGCAGCGGUAACAAAAUAUUUUGCGUUCCUUCGCCACGCAGUCUCGGAACCCGUGGUCGAACUGGCCGCAAUUCCAGCAACACAGCCUGGGUUUGUUCGCCAGCUCCUCCACUCGCUUCCCGGCUGAAUGGAAUUUCGGCGCAGGACGGAACGUCGACUUCUGCUCGCGUCCGCGAAAGUGGUACUCCACUUCCAGGCACUCCUCCCUCAGCUGCUCCACGUUUCGGACUCGGAUCGCGUAAACGUAGCGGGCGAUCUCGUCAUCGAGUCCCUUCUUCAAGACUCGCACCAUUUCGGACUCAACCAAAGAUUCGCCAGAUUGUUGUCGUCGCUCAUGCAAGGUGCGUAGCCGCUCGAACUCGCCACCCACCGCUCGGAGCCGGGACACCAACUCGUCCUUCAAAUCCUCCCAUACUUCCGGAGGCCGUUCUCGGACAAAUUGCCAAUACCACUCCGCCGCUUGUCCUUUGACGAGAUGGUGAAAGUUGUCAAGGACCUCGUCCCACGACCGUCGGUUCUGCCUACGGAGGAACUCGACCCUGAACACGAAGUCCUGCACCGUCAUCUUAUUUGGGUCUCCGUCGAAGUGGAUUUCCCAUUUGUCGACGCGUCCCCAUC
Molecule: long non-coding RNA, 625 nt
Organism: Drosophila miranda
Lineage: Eukaryota; Metazoa; Arthropoda; Insecta; Diptera; Drosophilidae
Exons: 3
Source: RefSeq, a predicted model, not a curated record